GUUCCUGUGGGGAGGCCUAGCCCUGGACCUGUGUGCUGGGAGCAGAUCCUGGGUGGGCUGUUGUGAUACAAUGGUAGUGUCCCGCUUCUGAACCAAAUGACUCAGGGUCAAGCUCCACUUGUUCCAGAGCAGCUCUGAAAUGGAAUGCAAUUGGCUGCUAUGAAAUAGAUUCCAAGGGUAGUGCAUACUGGAAGAGGAGUUGCUCUGCAGGAACUUGUUUUACCUCUAUUUCAUCUGCCAUUAUAUAUUUCACUUGAUGUCUCAGUGGAAUACUCCAAUUACCUCUAUCCCAUCCAGGAUAAAGUACUAGUAAUUAUAUUUUCUUUCUCCGAAAUAUGUACAAUUUUUAUGUUGAAUGACGGCAAAUCUAAU
This is a non-coding RNA of Chiloscyllium plagiosum (whitespotted bambooshark), 372 nucleotides long. The record is from RefSeq and is a predicted model, not a curated record. NCBI's taxonomy places the organism in Eukaryota, Metazoa, Chordata, Chondrichthyes, Orectolobiformes, Hemiscylliidae.